Long non-coding RNA from Mirounga angustirostris (Northern elephant seal), 5205 nucleotides. RefSeq lists it as uncharacterized. The record is from RefSeq and is a predicted model, not a curated record. The transcript has 5 exons. Lineage: Eukaryota; Metazoa; Chordata; Mammalia; Carnivora; Phocidae.
CUGUAAACCUGCAUGACAAAUUCCAGCCCAGAGCAACAUUUUAUGAUCCAGUGUCAAGUUCUUGAAAAAUGAAAAAUGAGAGGAAAGAGAGAUUUAACUGUAAUGUGGAUACAUUUUGGACUGGAUGUUAACCAAUUGAAUAAGAGCUUUAUGAGCCAGGAGCACUCAGAUCAAUUUGGAGCAAUUCGUGUCAGCAGUCCGGAAUUGGACAAUAACUCUCUUGGGCCACUUCCCUGACGUCUGGAAUCCAUGAAGGGCAAAAACAGGAUGUUUGGCCCCUGGCAACAAAAUCUGUGGGACUACAACUAGAAAAAUCUUAAGAACAGGUUGCCUGACUCACCUUGAAUAAAGAAAGCUGUUAGGAGCUUCUGACAGACUGAGGGCUGAAGAGAAGAAGAUCUUUAGAGAGUUUCUUGGACUAGUGGGAUGAGAUCAGGUAGCCAAAGAUCAGGGCAUCUGUACUCCCCAGCACAUCACUAUGGAUGCCCUGGUUGGGAUUAAAAGCUUCCUAAAGACUAUGAGCAAGUGAAGGAUACUCAUCUAACCCAAGAACUGCAGAGAACAGUAUUUCUUCGGGAAAGCCUUCUGUCUGACUGUACUUAAUAAAUGCUUGCUGGAUGAAGGAUGGAUGGAAGAAAGCAAGGCAAAAGGGAAGGAAACACUUGGGAAAACAGUUCGUCAGUCUGACCUGCAUAGUUCCAGACAUUGCUGGAAGCAGACAAGAUGUUACCCACAUUGGUUCUGGGACCCAUGACCCAUUUACCCCAAGGAGAAAUUAUCCAUGUGGCAGGUUGGCUUAGCACCUAGACCACCAAACAAACAUUCCACCAUUCUGCUUGAGGAGCAAGCUUUUACAAUAACUGUCCUCAGCACCAUUCUGAAAUGUCUUUGUCUUACUGUGCAAAGCUGGCCUAAGGAUUUUAAUACUGAAGUUCACAGUUAAGUGGUAAGACCCCAAAGAAACUGUUCUACCUAAGUAUAAACAUGUGUUUUGCUUCAAAGUUCAAAAAUAUUUCCAAUUAACACAAAUUCCCUGAACUGUUAGCUUCCUGCUACAGCUCUGUAAGUCAGCUUCUUCUGAGCCAUUUGAAAUGUAAAUGGACUGAUUUUUCUGAUUGUGGUUUACCAAUUAUGUCAGCACUAUCAUUUCUUGUCCACUGACCAGAGAAAUUGUAGCUAUGGAUGAGAAUUGUAUCUGGUAUUCUAUAUGGCUUCUCUUGUCGACUCACUUUUAAGGUCCAGCAUUUGGCAGGGAAUGUUCUUUCCUAUAUCACAGAUUGUUGUAUUCAUCCACUAUUGUGCUAAGCACACAUUUUGCCCAGAUUAUUUCAUUUAAUCCUCACAGAGAUCCUCAAAAGUGCAAAGAGAUUAAAAUGACUUGGACAGGGUCAUUACAAACUAAAGAACCAGAACUUGAACCAAGGUCAUCUGAUACCAGAGCUCUUGCUUUUAAUCACUUCCUUUAGACUGUUUCUCUAAGAAUUGUCUUUCCAUAAUUAAAAUUAGAUCAUAAAUUUUUAAAAAAUCUGUUAGAAUUCACAGUGAAUUCUAAGAACAUAAAAACUAACUUGAUCAAAAUGGAAGCUUUUUAUUAGUGUCCCACAGAUAGAGGUAGACAUGAGAGGCAUAUACAUUUACUUCUAAUUUACAAGUUGGUAUGCAGGAGCAGAAAAUUUGGUGAUGAAAGACUCUUUCUGCCUUUGUAGACAUUUAGCCCAUUCUUCCAUCACCUAAUUGUUCAGACGAAUAAUUUAGCUUUAGCUUUCCCACCGUAGUCAAAAGGUUCUGCACAGCUAUUUGAGUAUAUGUGAUGAGGACUAUUUUGAAUAAAGGGUGAAUGUGACUUUCAUUUUUCCCUGUGAUAUAUAAACAUGAGUCAGUAAAGGUUCCUCUUGAAAUUUCUCUAAGGAAUGGCACGCAUUUCCAAUUAAUCUCAUAACUUGUCUUUAACUAUUUGGCCAUGUUCCAUAAUUGAUAGAUGUUAUUUUAAUUCAGAUACAAAAAAAAAGGGAGGGAAAGAGAGAAUGGUCAGGCCAGAGAAUGGGAUAUACAUCAGCUUUUGGACACAUUCUAUUCAUGCAGUCAAUCAGUGUUUUUGAGACCCCAACACACUUUGGCUGAUCUCUGUGAGUGAUCCUAUUGUCAGUUCUUAACAAAAUUGCAAAAAUGACUUGCCCUAAAAGAUCCAUCAAAUUGGUGGCAAAGCUUGCUCAGGGUCUAAGACAUCCAGGCUACCACUCACCUUUCAAGGGUGGGCAUCAGUGGAAAAUCACUUAAGCCUCUAGAAAAGAUGGUUUUUAAGGAGAAAUUUGACUGAUGGAACCUGGUGGACCAGGAGAGAAGAGACACUUGAAGUCUGGGUGAAGGUGUGCAAUGAAUGUAAAAAAAACAGAUCACAGCAGAAAGUAAAGAAAUGUUGAGAGAAUAAAAAGAAGAACACAUUUGCCUUCACUAUCGCUUACAUGCUGGCACCCAAAUCCCUUCACACAGCACUCAAGGUCCUCCACAAGUUGACGCCAACCCUCUCUGUAAGACUCCUCCACCAGCAUUCUCCCUGUGUGUGGGUUUUUUUUUUUUUUAAGAUUUUAUUUAUUUAUUUUACAGAGAGAGACACAGCGAGAGAGGGAACACAAGCAGGGGGAGUGGGAGAGGGAGAAGCAGGCUUCCCAGGGAGCAAGGAACCUGACACGGGGCUCGAUCCCAGGACUCUGGGAUCAUGACCUGAGCCGAAGGCAGAUGCCCAAUGACUGAGCCACCCAGGUACCUCUCCCUGUGUUUUCUGUCCCGCCAUCACAUUGUGGGCUUUUUCCUAGACACAGCACACUUACCCACGUGAGUGCCCUUGAUUAUGUUUCCUCCUCUGCCCCCACUGCAUCUGCCUGGCAAAGUCUUACUCAGGUGUUGAGCCUCUAAAUACCACUCUCUUUUCAUGAAACCUUGGUAAACUCCUCUCCCCCACCUCCACUCACCACCCCCAACAAGCAGAAAUAACUGCCUUCUCCCUGAGUCUCUCGAGUUCUUUCAGUAUCUUCCGUGUCAUGUUGACAUUUGCUACAGGUCAAAAAGCCUAUCUCGUUCAUCUCCAUAUACCCAAGGGCAUAGUCAGCAUUUAAUACAUUUUUAUUGAUAUGUGUUGCUUCUGUAUGUCCAGGCUGGUUUCCACUCCCUGGCUCCGCCCUGAUACCCCUCCUAAUAAUAAUGAUGAUAACUAGCAUUUGUAAAAUACUCCACAAAUUGCCAAGCACCUUCGAAUCUUAGUUUUCUAGGAUUGCCAUAACAAAAUAUCCUAGACUGGGUGUCUCAGCAGAAAUUUGUUUUCUUACAGCUCUGGAGGCUAGAAGUCCAAGAUCAAGGUGUUAGCAGGUUGGUUUCCUCUGAGGCCUCUCUCCUUGGCCUGCAGAUGGUCAUCUCUUUCUAUAAAUGCACCAGUCAUAUUGGAUUAAGGCCUGCCCAUAUGACUUCAUUUUACCUUCAUUAACUCUUUAAAGGCCCUAUUUCCAAAUGCAGGUGUAUUCUAAGGUAUUGAAGGUUAAGACUUCGACAUAUGCAAGGGGCAGGAGUGGGGGACACAAUUCCCAGCCCACACCAAUAUCCAUGAUCUCAUUUAUCCCCUCAAGUUGUAGCUAAGCCACUCUGUACCUCUGCACUGUUUUGUGAGCUUUGAAAGACAGCUCUUCUAUGCCUGGCCUUACUCCUUCAAGGCUUCCCCAGUCUAGACCUCAAGUCUAUUUAUUUUGGAAACGGGCUUUGUUCCUUAAUGAGUGAAUAAAAGCAAUACUUCAAAAUUCUAGCAUUUCUUACUGAGUUUAAACUGUCAAAAGCCAAGCCCUAAUGUCAGUAUAAGAAGAAAAUAGAAACACUGCCUCUUUUCUAGCACUGAGAACCCAGGAAAACAAUGUAAUACUUUGGGGGGAGUUUUGUAGUUAGUAAAACACUGAGUAAGGGAUUUAAAGGUGCAUGUAUUAGCCACUUCAACGGAACAAAUGCUGGCCUUGUUAAGAAGGGAGUCAGGUAUUGCUACCUAAUAUAUCAGCCUACAUUCUGACCCUGGGACCUGUGAAACACCCAACACAUGAAUGGCUCCUUUCAUGUGAAGAAAAGUGCUCUUUUCAAAAGGGUCUUAAUCUCAGGCCAAAGAAAGGAGUAUUUUGCCUUCUACAGUCUGUUGACUAGGAGUCUUUUUAGAAUCCCGCAAAUUUCCCGUGUUUCUGGGUUAGUCAGGUGUGAGCAGGGGAUUCUUAGGCGGUAAGAAGACACUGUUCUGCAGAUCUCAGCCAUUUCUGUCUCCUCCCUCAUAAAUCAUUCUCAUGCUGUGAAAGAAAAAGUGGUCACAUGCAACCCAAUGCAUUUCAGCACUGCAUUUGAGCUCCAGGUGGGCGAUGUGGUGCAUGCGGCAUUGACUGUGACCUGGAUGUGGAGCCUGGAUCUGGGCCAACCUCAGACCUACCUAUCUUCAGAAGGGCAUUCACUAUCCCCGUCCUCUUUUCACUCAUGUGUUGGAAAGUGGGGAAAUAAGGGUGCCUGGGUGGCUCAAUUGGUUAAGCACCUGACUCUUGAUUUCGGCUCAGGUCAUGAUCUCAGGGUCAUGAGAUUGAGCCCCACAUUGGGCUCUGUGCUGAGUAUGGAGUCUGCUUAAGAUUCUCUCUCUCCCUCUCCCUCUGUCCCUCUCCCCACUCACGCUUUCAAAGAAAGAAAGAAAGAAAAAGAGAGAGGAAGGAAGGAAGGAAGGAAGGAAGGAAGGAGGAAGAAAAAGAAAAGUGGGGAAAUAAUAGAGGUUCAAGACAUGUCAUAAGAUAAUUCCUCUCCAGGGGCGCCUGGGUGGCUCAGUCGGUUAAGCGUCUGCCUUUGGCUCAGGUCGUGAUCCCAGGGUCUUGGGAAUGAGCCCUGUAUCGGGCUCCCUGCUCUGUGGGGAGUCUGCUUCUCCCUCUCCCACUCCCCCGAUCAUGCUUUCUCUUGCUCUCUCUCUCUCUCAAAUAAAUAAAAUCUUUAAAAAAAAAAGAUAAUUCCUCUCCAGUCAAGAAUUAUCUCCUUUCCUUUUAUGAGGUGGAAAAAAUUGAAGUCAUCCCUAUGAGAAAGAUAGUUUUUGAAAUGCUUUGGGGAGAGUGAGAGGCUGCUGACUCUGUCCUGCCCAAGCCACUGUUUCUUUUUUCUCUCUUCUCUUCUCCCUGUCACAUCCUCAGGCUUUUAACAGAAACAUUUUAGGUG